GGGGGUACAGCUCAGUGGUAGAGCACAUUCUUCACAUGCACAAGGCCCUGGGUUCAAUCCCCAGCACUGCCA
Molecule: transfer RNA, 72 nt
Filed under: Camelus bactrianus (Bactrian camel)
Lineage: Eukaryota; Metazoa; Chordata; Mammalia; Artiodactyla; Camelidae
Also listed under: 2 other names
Rfam family: tRNA
About the family: Transfer RNA (tRNA) molecules are approximately 80 nucleotides in length. Their secondary structure includes four short double-helical elements and three loops (D, anti-codon, and T loops).
Source: Rfam by way of RNAcentral